This 264-nucleotide ribosomal RNA is filed under the name uncultured Eubacteriales bacterium. RNAcentral describes it as "uncultured Clostridiales bacterium partial 16S ribosomal RNA". It matches the Rfam family "Bacterial small subunit ribosomal RNA", at positions 75 to 339 of the family's 1533-position model. Lineage: Bacteria; Bacillati; Bacillota; Clostridia; Eubacteriales. The record is from RNAcentral.
UUUACUAUUGGAGCGGUUAGUGGCGGACUGGUGAGUAACACGUAAGCAACCUGCCUUUCAGUGGGGGACAACAGUUGGAAACGACUGCUAAUACCGCAUGACACUUUUGGGAGACAUCUCCUGGAAGUCAAAGCUUUAUGUGCUGAAAGAUGGCCUCGCGUCUGAUUAGCUAGUUGGUGAGGUAACGGCUCACCAAGGCGACGAUCAGUAGCCGGUCUGAGAGGAUGAACGGCCACAUUGGGACUGAGAUACGGCCCAGACUCC